AAGACUAUACUUUCAGGGAUCAUUUCUAUAGUUUGUUACAUUGAUUAUGAUAUAUACCAUAUGCAUUACAUAUA
This is a small nucleolar RNA of Ailuropoda melanoleuca (giant panda), 74 nucleotides long. Its record names the gene U3. It matches the Rfam family "Small nucleolar RNA U3". From Rfam's summary of the family: Small nucleolar RNAs (snoRNAs) are involved in the processing and modification of rRNA in the nucleolus. There are two main classes of snoRNAs: the box C/D class, and the box H/ACA class. The record is from Ensembl. NCBI's taxonomy places the organism in Eukaryota, Metazoa, Chordata, Mammalia, Carnivora, Ursidae.